RNAcentral lists this ribosomal RNA (475 nucleotides) under unidentified archaeon. Its description in RNAcentral is "bacterial SSU rRNA". It matches the Rfam family "Archaeal small subunit ribosomal RNA", at positions 579 to 1053 of the family's 1478-position model. The record is from RNAcentral.
GGAUACUGUUUGGCUUGGGACCGGGAGAGGUGAGAGGUACCUUGGGGGUAGGGGUGAAAUCUUGUGAUCCUCGAGGGACCACCAGUGGCGAAGGCGUCUCACCAGAACGGGUCCGACGGUAAGGGACGAAAGCUAGGGGCACGAACCGGAUUAGAUACCCGGGUAGUCCUAGCCGUAAACGAUGCUCGCUAGGUGUCAGUCACGGUGCGACCGUGAUUGGUGCCGUAGGGAAGCCGUGAAGCGAGCCACCUGGGAAGUAUGGCCGCAAGGCUGAAACUUAAAGGAAUUGGCGGGGGAGCACUACAACGGGUGGAGCCUGCGGUUUAAUUGGAUUCAACGCCGGAAAUCUCACCGGGGGCGACAGCGAUAUGAAGGUCAGGCUGAAGACUUUACCGGAUUAGCUGAGAGGUGGUGCAUGGCCGUCGUCAGUUCGUACUGUGAAGCAUCCUGUUAAGUCAGGUAACGAGCGAGACCC